UAAUGGAGGCAACUCUGAACCAGCCAUGCCGCGUGCAGGAUGACGGUCCUAUGGAUUGUAAACUGCUUUUGUACAGGAAGAAACCUCGCUACGUGUAGUGAUUUGACGGUACUGUAAGAAUAAGGAUCGGCUAACUCCGUGCCAGCAGCCGCGGUAAUACGGAGGAUCCGAGCGUUAUCCGGAAUUAUUGGGUUUAAAGGGUUCGUAGGCGGUUGGAUAAGUCAGUGGUGAAAUUUCUUAGCUUAACUAAGACCCGGCCAUUGAUACUGUUUGACUUGAAUAGUAUGGAAGUAACUAGAAUAUGUAGUGUAGCGGUGAAAUGCUUAGAUAUUACAUGGAAUACCAAUUGCGAAGGCAGGUUACUACGUACUUAUUGACGCUGAUGAACGAAAGCGUGGGGAGCGAACAGGAUUAGAUACCCUGGUAGUCCACGCCGUAAACGAUGGAUACUAGCUGUUCGGUUUUCGGACUGAGUGGCUAAGCGAAAGUGAUAAGUAUCCCACCUGGGGAGUACGUUCGCAAGAAUGAAACUCAA
This 535-nucleotide ribosomal RNA is filed under the name bacterium T-2-0-3A. Its description in RNAcentral is "bacterial SSU rRNA". It matches the Rfam family "Bacterial small subunit ribosomal RNA", at positions 369 to 904 of the family's 1533-position model. The record is from RNAcentral.